AGUUGAUUGGGUAAUGCCCUGAAGCCUGAUGUGAACUCCCUGUCUGCUAACCAGGUCUCCCAGUCUACCUGAGGAGACACAAGAACUUCUCAAAGGCUGUAUGCACAGGGGAAAGUCCUGCCCGCAGGUGUUGAGAACAUACUUCCAUGGGACCUCGGAGGCCACCAGAUCUUUCAUGCAGUUCAGGUAGACAUCAUACACAUCAAAUGAACUUGACUGUGGGGCAGAGGAGAUAGAGACGUCAAUGCCUGGUUUUAUGCUUGCCUGCACUGGUGCAGCCAUUUCCACAGUAUUGCCUCCUAUUUUAUCUAGAAGAUGGCAUCAGCUUUGUUCUGCCUCUCACCUCAGUUCUACCCCUUCAGAUACUACAGGCGCAAAAGCAUCGGGAAUCACCUGGCUGUCCUUGACUUUGCAACUCGCCCGGUUUGCCUAUGAAGCCAUAGAUGUAGGAGUUGGUGCUUGGUUGCAGGGGUACCCUGUGCCUAAUCUGAAAUGCCAGUAGGGUGCUUCUAGAAAUGUCUGUGGUUAUUUUGGAUAAUACCAGUCAUUUUAAGAAGAAUGAGUAUGGGCCAGUGAGACGGCUCAGCAGGAAAGGCUCUUGCCAACAAGCCUGACCACCUGAGUUCCAUCUCUGGGACCCAUGAGGUGGAAGGAGAGAAGACUUCCAUAGGUUGUCCUUUGACAUCCACAUGUACACAGAGGCACCUAUGCAUGCAUGCACACACACCCAUAAAUAAUAAAAAAUGAAGAUGAUUAU
Peromyscus maniculatus bairdii (prairie deer mouse) is the source of this 757-nucleotide non-coding RNA. NCBI's taxonomy places the organism in Eukaryota, Metazoa, Chordata, Mammalia, Rodentia, Cricetidae. The record is from RefSeq and is a predicted model, not a curated record.